RNAcentral lists this long non-coding RNA (288 nucleotides) under Setaria italica (foxtail millet). RNAcentral's name for it is "long non-coding RNA (SITA_LNC001672)". Lineage: Eukaryota; Viridiplantae; Streptophyta; Magnoliopsida; Poales; Poaceae. The record is from RNAcentral.
CUCUCUGUUUGGUUUCGGCACUUUAGAAAGCCAGUGGCAGCGGCAGGCUGUUGUUGAGCCCUGACCGCAUCCUCCUCUUCCUGAGCCUCUCGGCAAUGAUGAAGGCAAGCUCAAGGGACUGGGAGGCGUUCAGCCUUGGGUCACAGUGGGUGUGGUAGCGGUCGCUCAGGUCAUCGAAGGUCACGGUCCGUGAUCCACCAAUGCACUCAGUCACGUUCUGCCCAGUCAUCUCCAGGUGGAUACCUCCUGGGUGGCUCCCUUCUUGGUCAUGCACAUCGAAGAAUGCAC